UCGUUGGGUCCUUGAGGACUUAGUGACGCAGCUAACGCAAUAAGUAGACCGCCUGGGGAGUACGGCCGCAAGGUUAAAACUCAAAUGAAUUGACGGGGGCCCGCACAAGCGGUGGAGCAUGUGGUUUAAUUCGAUGCAACGCGAAGAACCUUACCUGGUCUUGACAUAUCUAGAAUCCUGCAGAGAUGCGGGAGUGCCUUCGGGAAUUAGAAUACAGGUGCUGCAUGGCUGUCGUCAGCUCGUGUCGUGAGAUGUUGGGUUAAGUCCCGCAACGAGCGCAACCCUUGUCCUUAGUUACCAGCGGGUUAAGCCGGGAACUCUAAGGAUACUGCCAGUGACAAACUGGAGGAAGGCGGGGACGACGUCAAGUCAUCAUGGCCCUUACGACCAGGGCUACACACGUGCUACAAUGGUAGGUACAGAGGGCAGCUACACAGCGAUGUGAUGCGAAUCUCAAAAAGCCUAUCGUAGUCCAGAUUGGAGUCUGCAACACGACUCCAUGAAGUAGGAAUCGCUAGUAAUCGCGGAUCAGAAUGCCGCGGUGAAUACGUUCCCGGGCCUUGUACACACCGCC
RNAcentral lists this ribosomal RNA (574 nucleotides) under uncultured bacterium. RNAcentral describes it as "bacterial SSU rRNA". It matches the Rfam family "Bacterial small subunit ribosomal RNA", at positions 820 to 1394 of the family's 1533-position model. The record is from RNAcentral.